UGUAAGCGUAUACCAAAGUUGUUGCAGUUAAAACGCUCGUAGUCGGAAUUUGGCAGUUCCGGAAGUGUGCACGUCGUGUGCGCACUUUGCGGGGACUGCUUUUGUGGUCUUGCGUAGGAUGAGGCACUUUCAUUAGUGAACGUCCUCACGCAACCACUCUUUACUGUGAGAAAAUCAGAGUGCUCAAAGCAGGCAUUUGCCGUGAAUGUAUUAGCAUGGAAUAAUAGAAUAGGACUCGGUUCUAUCUUGUUGGUUUGUUGGGACUGAGUAAUGAUUAAGAGGGACAGUUGGGGGCAUUUGUAUUCCGGCGCUAGAGGUGAAAUUCUUAGAUUGCCGGAAGACAAACUGCUGCGAAAGCGUCUGCCAAGGAUGUUUUCAUUGA
RNAcentral lists this ribosomal RNA (382 nucleotides) under uncultured eukaryote. Its description in RNAcentral is "partial 18S ribosomal RNA". It matches the Rfam family "Eukaryotic small subunit ribosomal RNA", at positions 592 to 976 of the family's 1831-position model. The record is from RNAcentral.